CAUUUUUUACAUUUUUUAAAAAUGCAAUAUUUAAUGUCAGUGCUUGGUAAACAGACAAGUUGAAGUUGUAUUUCACCCCAAAGUUUACAUCAGUAACUGGACACUUAGUAGAAGAUAAGAGCACACUUUCAGCCAAAUGCAAUAAGGCAAUGAGAUUAUCAGCGGGAGACUGGUCAGUUUCUGGAGAAAAGUGUGAAAUUUGAUCCAGAGAUAAGGAUGGUCAAACUAAAGACAAAGAAAUUCACUUGCUUUACAACAUUUUCCCGCCUGUUAGAGAGAACAGAGCAGAACAAAGAAAACUGUGAAUACUGGAGGAAAACCAUUCAACAACAAUGUGAGAUCAUUAUCAACAAUUGGUGAGGAAAAUACAAAGGCAACAGUUAGGAGACUCUUAUCGCACAUGAUAAAAAAUCCACUAGCUACCAAAAUCAACCGGGUCGGAAAAGGGGAAAAAUUGCUUUCUCUUCCUUGAAAUUAAAGGAAGUAUUGAAAGAAACAGUGAUGAAAAAUCAUCUCUGCCCCAAUGCUACCGAUGCAGAAAUACAUGUGUAUUCUAUUGCCAAAUACUGGUUCAGAUUUGCCAGUGAUUGGGAGGGAGGGAGAAAGAAAAGGACAGAGAAAAAGAGUUUUUCCCCACCACAAAACGAAACCAAUCGGGAACAGGAGGCCGGGGAGUGAGCCAGAGGAUGCCACUCAAGAUAAAAUUCUUCAUAACAUGAACUUUUUAAUGUCCUAGCUACUUUGAAAAAUUCAGUAAUAGAAAAUGAAUCGAUCAUACUUGUCUAAUUAAAAUUUGUUUAAUUUCUGUCAGAUAUAUAGGGGUUUUGUUUACAUGUUGUUUUUAAAAAACAUACAAUUGAACAAACUGAUUAAAAAUAGAAUUUUUCCACUUAAAUAUGCAUUAUUUUUCUGUCUCAUACCAAGUUAAUUUGAUUGUUUUUAUGGUUAUAAUAGCAUUGAGAAAUAUAUUUUAAAUGGUGAAUUGAUUUUAACCAGAAAAACAAAAUGUUGAGUUACAUUGCAUUGGUGGUCAGGUAAUAAUAGGUCACAUAGGGCCACAGGACCAACCUAGGCUCACCAUAAUGGGUCAGUGAAGUUUAUCAAAAAAUUACAGUGGCCUUUGUGUUGAACCAACGUAGGUCCAACAUUGUUUGCUAUUGUGGACCAUUGAGGUUUCGUAUGUUGGGCCAAUGUUAUUACAACAUGCUGGGUCAAUGUUGGACCAACAUGUUGGGCCAGUGUUGGACCAACGUGGUGGGCCAUAGUUAGAUCAAUGCGUUGGACCAACGUAGGGCCACCAAGUUGGGCCAAUGUUGGUCCUACACGUUGGCCCAACGUAGAGCCGAUGAGCAAAAUAACAUUGGGCCAACAAAGUUUGCCAACAUUGGCCCGAUGUAAACAACAUUGUUGGGCCUAAGUUGGCCCAACGUAGUCAUGCUA
Magallana angulata is the source of this 1440-nucleotide long non-coding RNA. RefSeq lists it as uncharacterized. The transcript has 3 exons. Lineage: Eukaryota; Metazoa; Mollusca; Bivalvia; Ostreida; Ostreidae. The record is from RefSeq and is a predicted model, not a curated record.